UGGCGGCGUGCUUAACACAUGCAAGUCGAGCGGUAAGGCCCUUCGGGGUACACGAGCGGCGAACGGGUGAGUAACACGUGGGUGAUCUGCCUCGCACUUCGGGAUAAGCCUGGGAAACUGGGUCUAAUACCGGAUAUGACCUGCUGUCGCAUGGCGGUGGGUGGAAAGAUUUAUCGGUGCGAGAUGGGCCCGCGGCCUAUCAGCUUGUUGGUGGGGUAAUGGCCUACCAAGGCGACGACGGGUAGCCGGCCUGAGAGGGCGACCGGCCACACUGGGACUGAGACACGGCCCAGACUCCUACGGGAGGCAGCAGUGGGGAAUAUUGCACAAUGGGCGAAAGCCUGAUGCAGCGACGCCGCGUGAGGGAUGACGGCCUUCGGGUUGUAAACCUCUUUCGACAGGGACGAAGCGCAAGUGACGGUACCUGUAGAAGAAGCACCGGCCAACUACGUGCCAGCAGCCGCG
RNAcentral lists this ribosomal RNA (465 nucleotides) under Nocardia sp. 13-563. RNAcentral describes it as "bacterial SSU rRNA". It matches the Rfam family "Bacterial small subunit ribosomal RNA", at positions 37 to 519 of the family's 1533-position model. Lineage: Bacteria; Bacillati; Actinomycetota; Actinomycetes; Mycobacteriales; Nocardiaceae. The record is from RNAcentral.